This 253-nucleotide ribosomal RNA is filed under the name uncultured bacterium. RNAcentral describes it as "partial 16S ribosomal RNA". It matches the Rfam family "Bacterial small subunit ribosomal RNA", at positions 524 to 776 of the family's 1533-position model. The record is from RNAcentral.
UACAGAGGGUGCGAGCGUUAAUCGGAUUUACUAGGCGUAAAGCGUGUGUAGGUGGCUUCCUAAGUCGAUUGUGAAAUCCCUGGGCUCAACCUGGGAAUUGCAGUCGAUACUGGGGAGCUCGAGUUCGGUAGAGGACGGCGGAAUUCCCGGUGUAGCGGUGAAAUGCGUAGAUAUCGGGAGGAACAUCGAUGGCGAAAGCAACCGUCUGGGCCUGAACUGACACUGAGACACGAAAGCGUGGGGAGCGAACAGG